This 477-nucleotide ribosomal RNA is filed under the name Candidatus Scalindua brodae. Its description in RNAcentral is "bacterial SSU rRNA". It matches the Rfam family "Bacterial small subunit ribosomal RNA", at positions 365 to 832 of the family's 1533-position model. The record is from RNAcentral. RNAcentral also lists the same sequence under 1 other name. Lineage: Bacteria; Pseudomonadati; Planctomycetota; Candidatus Brocadiia; Candidatus Brocadiales; Candidatus Scalinduaceae.
UUCGCAAUGCCCGAAAGGGUGACGAAGCGACGCCGCGUGGGUGAGGAAGGCCCUCGGGUUGUAAAGCCCUGUCAGGAGUUAAGAAAUGUAGACUCGCUAAUAUCGGGUCUAUUUGACAAAGGCUCCAAAGGAAGCCACGGCUAACUCUGUGCCAGCAGCCGCGGUAAUACAGAGGUGGCAAGCGUUGUUCGGAAUUAUUGGGCGUAAAGAGCACGUAGGUGGAUUUGUAAGUCAGAUGUGAAAGCCUUCUGUUCAACGGGAGAAUUGCAUCUGAAACUACAGACCUUGAGUAUAGGAGGGGAGAAUGGAACUUCUGGUGGAGCGGUGAAAUGCGUAGAUAUCAGAAGGAACGCCGGCGGCGAAAGCGAUUCUCUGGCCUAUUACUGACACUCAGUGUGCGAAAGCUAGGGGAGCAAACGGGAUUAGAUACCCCGGUAGUCCUAGCCGUAAACGAUGGGCACUAAGUAGAGGGGUUUU